RNAcentral lists this ribosomal RNA (166 nucleotides) under uncultured bacterium. RNAcentral describes it as "partial 16S rRNA". It matches the Rfam family "Bacterial small subunit ribosomal RNA", at positions 355 to 511 of the family's 1533-position model. The record is from RNAcentral.
UAGGGAAUCUUCCACAAAUGGGCGGCAAGCCUGAUGGAGCAACGCCGCGUGAGUGAAGAAGGUCUUCGGAUCGUAAAACUCUGUUGUUAGAGAAGAACACGAGUGAGAGUAACUGUUCAUUCGAUGACGGUAUCUAACCAGCAAGUCACGGCUAACUACGUGCCAG